GAAGCAAGCCAGACCGCCGCUGGUGCAACCGCCGAAAGGCCGCACUGGAGGAAGGUCCGGACUGCACAGGGCAGCGCAGGAGGUAACGCCUCUCCACCGUGAGGUGCGAAUCAGAGCCACAGAGACGAGUCCCAUGGGUGCAAGCCCAUGGGGGUGAAACGCGGCAAUCUUUGCGCGCAGCAACACCAAAUAGGCCGGCAUCGAUGCGGCCCGCGGAGCCGGCGGGUAGGUGGCACCGAGCCGGGCGAGCGAUCGCCUGGCCCAGAUGAAUGGCGGUCACGGCUGCGGCGCUUUCGGGCACCGCGGCUGCACAGAAUCCGGCCUAUCGGCUCGCUUCACAC
RNAcentral lists this RNase P RNA (341 nucleotides) under Burkholderiaceae bacterium. Its description in RNAcentral is "RNase P RNA component class A". It matches the Rfam family "Bacterial RNase P class A". Rfam says of the family: Ribonuclease P (RNase P) is a ubiquitous endoribonuclease, found in archaea, bacteria and eukarya as well as chloroplasts and mitochondria. Its best characterised activity is the generation of mature 5'-ends of tRNAs by cleaving the 5'-leader elements of precursor-tRNAs. The record is from RNAcentral. Lineage: Bacteria; Pseudomonadati; Pseudomonadota; Betaproteobacteria; Burkholderiales; Burkholderiaceae.